Molecule: ribosomal RNA, 460 nt
Filed under: uncultured bacterium
Lineage: Bacteria
Description: partial 16S ribosomal RNA
Rfam family: Bacterial small subunit ribosomal RNA
Source: RNAcentral
CCUACGGGAGGCAGCAGUGAGGAAUAUUGGUCAAUGGGCGUAAGCCUGAACCAGCCAAGUAGCGUGAGGGAUGAAGGUUCUAUGGAUCGUAAACCUCUUUUAUAAGGGAAUAAAGUGUGGGACGUGUCCUAUUUUGUAUGUACCUUAUGAAUAAGGAUCGGCUAACUCCGUGCCAGCAGCCGCGGUAAUACGGAGGAUCCGAGCGUUAUCCGGAUUUAUUGGGUUUAAAGGGUGCGUAGGCGGGUUGUUAAGUCAGCGGUGAAAGUCUGCGGCUCAACCAUAGAAUUGCCGUUGAUACUGGGGGGCUUGAGUAUGUUUGAGGCAGGCGGAAUGCGUGGUGUAGCGGUGAAAUGCUUAGAUAUCACGAAGAACCCCGAUUGCGAAGGCAGCCUGCCAAGCUAUGACUGACGCUGAUGCACGAAAGCGUGGGGAUCAAACAGGAUUAGAUACCCCUGUAGUC